This is a long non-coding RNA of Fukomys damarensis (Damara mole-rat), 4194 nucleotides long. The record is from Ensembl. NCBI's taxonomy places the organism in Eukaryota, Metazoa, Chordata, Mammalia, Rodentia, Bathyergidae.
GUCUUUCUAAACAACAAGAUGAAAAAGUAAAGAAAGGCCAAAUUUGGCCACAAGCAUGGAUGAAAGGCUGAGACACACUUCUUGGCCUACCGUGGCUCUGGACCUGAGGCCACCAUGUACAGCUGCCCAGAACCUUGCUGGUGGUGAACCCCGUGCAUGGAAAGCCUAGAGAAGGACACAAAUGAGAAACUGAAGCCUGGUCACCCAGCUGUAGAGAAGUGACGUUAUGUGGGAAGCAAUGUUAUGAGAAGACAACAGCAACAGCAUCGUGCAAUGAGGAGAGCAAACAGGGACUCUUUCAAGGGGACAAAACUAAAGAUGCUGCUGCACACAUCUCUUGGUAAAGUACCCACACAGAUCCCCUACAGUCUGAUCAGAAUGGCAGCCAAUCUGAUGAGGAAGUGCCAUCUGAAGUGAGCUCGGUGAUCUGAAGAGGAAAAGUAAGGAAUCACUUGUGCAAUAAACAGUGAGUAGGGAGGGCAUUGGACCAAAAAUCAGGUAGGCAAAAAGCAAGAGUAGGUGAGGAUGGAAAGGCUAACUUGGACCAGCAGUGUCUGAUCAAAGUGCGGGGGCAAGCAAGAACAAUGGGGCUCAUACCCACGGCCCUGUUCCCCUUUCCCAAGUCAUGCACCUGGCCCAACAACCUGAGGCAGCAUCCAUUAGCACAAUCAUGGAGUCUGGCCCUGGGUUUGGGCUGGCUGCCUCCCUAGGACCAGAUGGAGCAAGUCUUCUCAGGCUGGGCUCCAGAGAUGGGAGUUGAUUCAGGGGAUAAUGAGGAGCCUGCUAAGGGUUUGAAGACAGAAGAGAGAUGUGUGAAAUUGAGUUAGAUUUAAGGACGAGUUCAUUUAUGAGACAGACGCCAUGACAGGUGAUGACGGGCUGCACCAAAGUUAAUUGGGAAAUUCCAGUGAACUGUAUUUGUUCAGCUUCUGAAUGAGGGAAUGGGAGACUAGAAAACAGGAACUGCUCAAAAACGUAUUGCACCCUUUGGAUGGGAAACAAGAAUGCUGACAAAAGUGGGAGUCCGGAUUGAGCAAGAUGGGCAGAAAAUAGCUAUAGACCUAUGGGAACAGAAACCAGCACCUUAACACCUUAAACACGGCAGGCACUUCAAAUGACCCUCAACCAUUUAGCACCCCCUUAGCUGGCCUCACACCAGAAUGCAAGGAAAGAAUUAUUUUCCCACUACUGUGCUGUUUCAGCUGAAAACACCCUGAUGUCAAAGUACCAACUAUGUACUGAGGACUAACAAAGGAAGGUAUAAAAUUGGGUUUCCUGGUAAAUAUUUUGUUCUUGAAAACUCCUCCCCUGCCAAACCUUCUGCACAAAGGUAUCCCUGACACGGUGACAAGGCCCAUCCCUUUAGGAUGAGACAUAGCCAUGCCAGGCAAGAGUCUGAUAAAGGAAGCAAGGCAUGCUAUGAGAUCAAGAUUGCUCUCCCCUCAGCCAACCUGGGAAAGUGGAAUUUAUCUCCUGCUGUUGUUUCUGAAUAAAGAUCUUGGUUUUAAGUGCAAAUAACUGUCUGGUAGGGAAAACAAAAAGCUCAUUACUAGCCAUUCACACCUUGAUUCAUUUAACAGGGCCCAAAGGAGGGCAGAGCCUCCAGGAUAAAGAAUAAUAAAUAUUAAUCACACUUUAGAAUAAAUUGAGAAGUUAUGCACUCAUUAUCUUGAUCCUUACAGCAAUCCUGAGAGCCUUACAGUAUUCUCUCCCUUUUAUAGCUGAGGGAAUGAGGACCCAGAGACUUCCAGUGACUUACUGAAGAACACACAUGGUUGCUGGCAGAGCUGGGACUUGAACUCAGGGCUCCUGAAUCCAGCCUGGCACCCUGUCCUCGGUGUGGGUGGUAGGUAGCUGCUGAGGGCUGUGGGGUACUGUCCCAAGGUUAUGUGUGAUGCAGGCCUGAGAAGACCAGAGUUGGGGACUCCUUGAGGCAUGCCAUCACCUGCCCCUACCGCCACACUGUCAAGGCCUCUGUCCUAAACUCAAGGGGAGAUGGAAUAAGGAUGAAAGAAUGGUGAGCAAUAAUCUCUGGCUACCUGUCCACCCUAAAACCUUCCCCUCCAUCCCAGUGGUUAGCUUCUCAGGCUUGCCCUGGAGAACCUACCUACAGUCACUGUGGGCUGGCAUUUUCUCUGUCAGACACAAAAUCAUUGUGUAAGGGCUUGGCCCCUCUUGGGCAACUCUGUCUACCCAACAUGUGACCAUCCUUACAGUACCUCUCUGAGGUGCUCAGAGCUCAGAUCCUGGAGCUGACUCCCUGUGAGUCUACAGUCAGUAGAGAAAUAGAUGCUGAUGAAGAAACUAAAUUUUGCUUUCCAUGAAAGACUUUGUCUCCCAAGUUCGGGCUCUGGACAGGUGUUUACAGGAACUAUGUUUUAGAAAGACACACACACACAAACACACACACAUACACACACACACACAACCAGCCGUCAUUCUAGAUUCAAACACCUAAGUUUAGAAAAGCUGCCUCUUGAGGCCAAAGCCACUCCUCUUCAAGGCUGGCAGAGGAAUGGAACAAAAGGAACAAUUUAUAACUUGAGAGAACUUUAGCCCUCACCUCAGAUUGGGAGACCAGCAAGACUUUCAUUAUCUUCAGGAGAACUGUGCCAGUGCCCCUUUGGAAAUUCAAGAUCUCUGAGCUUUCUCUGCCUGUUGCAUCCACAAGGUACAACCACUUAACAGUUUGCAAGACAUUACUGGAGGUUAACAGAUCUGAGGCUGCCCACCUAAAGGCCUCAGGUGGAGGACCCCCAACCCCAAAAUAAGACUCUAUGACUCCUCCUCCCUACCACCCAGGCCUCAAAGGGCAUGAACAGUAGACUUGAGAAAACAUCUACCCCAUGCCCUGCCCAUGAUUCAGACCAUGCCUCCAGCAUAUACUAUAAUUUUAAAAUUAACAUAUUAAAACAUCAAGCCGAGCCUCCAUAGGUGACCCAUUACAACAUCUUUCAUGCUUUGAUCUUGUUAAUGGGCCAAUGAGUGUAGAUCAUUCAAUUUAGCACUCUAAAGGACAAUCCAGAGUCAGGCUCAGUGGGGGCUGAUGAUAAAAAAAGGAAUUUGGUGUGACUAGAGGAACACCAUGGUAUAGCCAGAAAACUAUAUGCAACGAGUUAUCUUUCAAGCUAGGCCUAAAUUCAGAUUAUGGGAGAACAGGGAGGCAAUCUAUUUAUAGAUGGGAAGGAAAAAUUAGGAAAUGGCCUUAUCAAAGAGAUGUUGGGUUGAGCUUUGGAUCUUCACGAGGAAGGACUCCAAAUAGUAGAAGGGAGGCAAGAUGCAAAUGCGUCUGAGAAAAGGCAAGGAUCUGGUAAAGCUGAGUCAUGACCUGAUAUGGGAGAGUACUGGAAGAGGAAAAGAAAGAGAAAAGAUGGCCAUUAGCUCCAUUACACCUGAUGUCCAGCAGAAUAUAACCUGGGAUGUGGAAAGAGCAUAAGAAAGAGAGAGAGAUUAGCAAGAUGGCUGCCAUACUGAACACUUGGGCAUGACCACCAGAACUAGCCAGCUUCUCCUUCGAGGAGUAGCAUCUGUAGUGAAAAAUGGGUUGAAAGAGGGAAGCCACUUCUAGCCCUAGCACUCACAGGCUGGGAGAUCUUGGAUGAGUUCUCAGCUCACCAGCUAUCACUUGUACAAGGACAGUGUUCUUAUGAUAUUGCAUUCUUCCUAGCAGAACACAGAUGAGUUCAUAAAGGGGGUCAGUAGAGCAAGGCUUAAUAAAGAUGUUGCUUAUAAAGGGAGGGGCAACAAGUGAUGGGGAAAUGAUAGGAUUUGCAACAGCUGGCAACUGUUAUCACUCUUGGAUUUGAAGGGACAAGAGAAUGAAACUAUUAGCUGUAAUGAAAGCUGCAUGAGCAGGCAUGUGCUCAUUGCUAGAGAAUGCAGCCACUGCCAAUUGUGGCAAGGCAGGUGGAGGCCUUAAUAAUGAACACUCCAUCCUACAACUACUCUUCAGUGCCUCUCACUGAACAUAUGUAAAAAGCCAGAUGACAAAGGGUCUGGUUGAGGCAAUCUAUACAUACCAUCUUCCCACACAGAGAGAGAUACAGAAGGAGGCAAAGGGAAACAUCUCAUGUGGAUGGUAGGGUGACAAAUUGAAUAGUUAAUUAUAUGCUUAUAAUAAAGACUAUCCAAAACUCUUAUUGGUUAGGAUGAGGCUAAUGCAUAUAUUUAAAUUGUUAAAAAAGAAAUUUAAAG